GGGCUUAUAGCUUAGUAGUAAAGUAUAAGGUUUAGGUUUUUAAAAACCCUUAAGGUCCUAAGUUUAAACCCUAGUAAGUUUA
This is a non-coding RNA of Diaporthe ampelina, 82 nucleotides long. NCBI's taxonomy places the organism in Eukaryota, Fungi, Ascomycota, Sordariomycetes, Diaporthales, Diaporthaceae. The record is from Rfam.